GAAUGCUGACAUAAGUAACGAUAAAGCGGGUGAAAAGCCCGCUCGCCGGAAGACCAAGGGUUCCUGUCCAACGUUAAUCGGGGCAGGGUGAGUCGACCCCUAAGGCGAGGCCGAAAGGCGUAGUCGAUGGGAAACAGGUUAAUAUUCCUGUACUUGGUGUUACUGCGAAGGGGGGACGGAGAAGGCUAUGUUGGCCGGGCGACGGUUGUCCCGGUUUAAGCGUGUAGGCUGGUUUUCCAGGCAAAUCCGGAAAAUCAAGGCUGAGGCGUGAUGACGAGGCACUACGGUGCUGAAGCGACAAAUGCCCUGCUUCCAGGAAAAGCCUCUAAGCAUCAGGUAACAUCAAAUCGUACCCCAAACCGACACAGGUGGUCAGGUAGAGAAUACCAAGGCGCUUGAGAGAACUCGGGUGAAGGAACUAGGCAAAAUGGUGC
Molecule: ribosomal RNA, 434 nt
Filed under: Escherichia coli
Lineage: Bacteria; Pseudomonadati; Pseudomonadota; Gammaproteobacteria; Enterobacterales; Enterobacteriaceae
Description: partial 23S ribosomal RNA
Rfam family: Bacterial large subunit ribosomal RNA
Source: RNAcentral